AUGAGGGAAAUGCAGGUGUACAGUGUGACAGCUACCCAGCUGCAGACCCUAGCUGGCUGCAGGUGGGGGGUCAGUGGGUGGGGCACAGCCUCCCAGGAGGCGUUUUUGUAUGUGCUUGUAACACUGUGUUAUGUGUUCGGCGGAGGGACCCAGCUGACCGUCCUAGGUCAGCCCACGUCCGCACCUUCGGUCACGCUCUUCCCGCCCUCCUCUGAGGAACUCGCAGCCAGCAAGGCCACCCUGGUGUGCCUCAUCAGUGAUUUCUACCCCAGCGGCGUGACGGUGGCCUGGAAGGCAGACGGCAGCCCCGUCACCCAGGGCGUGGAGACCACCAAGCCCUCCAAACAGAGCAACAACAAGUACGCGGCCAGCAGCUACCUGAGCCUGUCGCCUGACAAGUGGCAAUCUCACAGCAGCUUCAGCUGCCUGGUCACACACGAGGGCAAAACCGUGGAGAAGAAGGUGGUCCCCUCACAGUGCUCUUAGGUCCCUGAGACUUCCAGGGAUGGGGGCCUUCCUCUCCCAGAUACCCCUUUGCCAGCUCACCAUGCCCCCCUGAGUCCCCACCCAGGUUCUGCUCAGAGCAGGCAGGUCACAAUGCCAUCCCUGUUUAUUAUUUGCUCAAUAAAGAACUCAUCAUUUAUCAUCUGA
This is a non-coding RNA of Neogale vison (American mink), 651 nucleotides long. The record is from the annotation of a RefSeq genome assembly. Lineage: Eukaryota; Metazoa; Chordata; Mammalia; Carnivora; Mustelidae.